GACUACGGCCAUGCCACCCAGAACACGCCCGAUCUCGUCUGAUCUCGGAAGUUAAGCAAGGUCAGGCCUGAUUAGUACUUGGAUGGGAGAUCACCUAGUAAUACCAGGUGCUGUAGGCA
This 119-nucleotide ribosomal RNA is filed under the name Pteropus alecto (black flying fox). Lineage: Eukaryota; Metazoa; Chordata; Mammalia; Chiroptera; Pteropodidae. The record is from RNAcentral.